CACGUAGGGUGCGAGCGUUGUCCGGAAUUAUUGGGCGUAAAGAGCUCGUAGGCGGUGUGUCGCGUCGGCCGUGAAAACCUGCAGCUUAACUGUGGGCUUGCGGUCGAUACGGGCAUCACUGGAGUUCGGCAGGGGAGACUGGAAUUCCUGGUGUAGCGGUGAAAUGUGCAGAUAUCAGGAGGAACACCAAUAGCGAAGGCAGCUCGCUGGGACGUUACUGACACUGAGGCGCGAAAGCGUGGGGAGCGAACAGG
RNAcentral lists this ribosomal RNA (254 nucleotides) under uncultured bacterium. Its description in RNAcentral is "partial 16S ribosomal RNA". It matches the Rfam family "Bacterial small subunit ribosomal RNA", at positions 524 to 776 of the family's 1533-position model. The record is from RNAcentral.